RNAcentral lists this long non-coding RNA (491 nucleotides) under Saimiri boliviensis boliviensis (Bolivian squirrel monkey). RNAcentral describes it as "lncRNA (ENSSBOG00000036714.1)". Lineage: Eukaryota; Metazoa; Chordata; Mammalia; Primates; Cebidae. The record is from RNAcentral.
GGAGCAGAGCAGGAUGUUCCUGACAGCUGUGCAAGAGACGGAGAGUCGCUCAGCCCUUCUGCGCCCUGGUCCGCGUCGCACACGGGCAUUCUCACCUCCGGGGCACUGUGAGGCCUCCGUGAGCCGAGCAGGGAGUGGCUGCCCAGCCUGCGGCGUUGGCGUGGUGCCCCUGUUCCGUGGUGGAAUCUUGGCCAAGCCAGUGGAUGGAGAGCAAGGGCAUUCCAAGUGGAAGGAUCGGGGUUCGGCAGCUCCCAGGAGGAGCGUGCAGGAGCACUGGGGAAGCAUGCUUUGCCUUGACAUUGGGGCGGACGCCCCAAGGUUACACGGAAAGGGAAACUCAGUCUCCUGUGGCCUUGCUCAAGGUGCUCCCUCUGUACCACGACCCUCUCAUCUGCCGAAGAUGGGGCCGGAUACACCAGGGUCCCUUUGCACCUGAAUUGCUUCUAAUUCCUGGUCCUGAUGUGCCAUUGACCUGUGACACCUGCCCUGGC